Molecule: long non-coding RNA, 533 nt
Organism: Thunnus maccoyii (southern bluefin tuna)
Lineage: Eukaryota; Metazoa; Chordata; Actinopteri; Scombriformes; Scombridae
Exons: 3
Source: RefSeq, a predicted model, not a curated record
UGCACAGCGGUGGUCACGCUGUUGGAACGGGUCAUCCUGCGGUAACUAGGAGAGAUGGUGAAGAUAAGGUUUGGCAAAGAACAAAAAGCUCUGGAGAGGCCUUAACGUAUUGCAGUUGAACAGAGGGCUGACUUCAUCUACUUGGUUUGUCGGAGUCAUCCACCGCCCUCCAACCACCCUCCCACCUCCCUCCUGUCUCGCUAGAUGUGAUUGGAUGAUCCCAGACGAGAUUUAAGCCCAGAGAAGUGUUAAAGAACAGAGGGUUUUCAUCCGCUCAAUAAAGCACUGUAUGAAACAGGAGACGACGCGCCGUGUCCCACCUAGCUGUCACUACGAGGAGCCAGACGCGCUGGAGAAUGACAGGGGGUUUUGAAUGCCGAGACAGGUUAAGUAAACACACUCAAGAGUUGGAACAUGCCCACGCACACAUGUACGCGCACGCAGGCCUGCAGACAUGCACAUGGGCACGGAGGCACACAAAUAACAUUGACACAACCCAGCUUAACGUUUCAAACUCUCCACAUCAAUGGAGA